Oryzias latipes (Japanese medaka) is the source of this 1138-nucleotide non-coding RNA. NCBI's taxonomy places the organism in Eukaryota, Metazoa, Chordata, Actinopteri, Beloniformes, Adrianichthyidae. The record is from RefSeq and is a predicted model, not a curated record.
GGGAUCUCAGCAAGGUAUAGAGGCACAUUUGUUUGAUCUAAUUAAGCCCGUUUGGACUCUGGCGCUCCACGCGCUGGAUGAAUAGUGGCGUUUGGAGGAAGUGCGGCUGCGCAGUCCGUCACUGAACACCGUCACUGCCUGGACCUCUUUCUGGGUCCUAGUGCCCUAAAGGUUACAGCUCCUGGUUCCACAAGAAAAAAGUCCAUUCUAGAGGCCACUCUGACGUCAUCAUCAUCAAAGACAGCGUUACCUAGCAACCAUACCAAGACCAUAGCAGCUAUAGAGGGAAACACAACAAACCAUCAACGGCGGUUAAAGCAGUCAGACGUUUGUUCUGCAGCUCAGCAAAAAUCUCUGCUUUAGGUUUUGGGGAGAAAAACAAAGGAAAACACACGGAGAAGGAUUCUGCAAAGGAAAUCCCAAGUUCUAUUGUUCCAGCUUGGUGAGUGUGCAGGUCGCCAUGGCAACCACUGUCCAGGUCAAAGGGAGGACCACGGCCAUCCAGUCUCCAGGCUUUAGGAUUGAUUUGGAUUUGUUAAACAUUUGUUUCCCACAUUUUAAUAGUAGAAUUCAACACGGGACAUAUAGUGGAUUGUAAGAAUAGGAACAAAAACAGCAACAACAAAAUAAUCCUCCUCCCCUUAAAACAUGCAUUUGACUCUGAACAAGUCUAAAACAAAUCCAAGCAAAGACCAGCGCUGGGGCUCCUGCUAGUUUCUUUUAGAAGAGCCUGCCUCUUCAAAACAUAGAAUGUUCAACAACUAGAGCUAAAAAUGUCUGUUGGUAGAUUUCUGGAUGUUGGCCGUAUCCCAGCGAGCAAGGCCAAGUCAGCCCCAUAUGGUUUCAAAGUGGACAGAAAAGGUUUUUAGGAGUUUCUAGAAUGUUCAACAACUAGAGCUAAAUGAAACUAGUGCAUGAAAUGACAAAGAACUUCCUGUUUGAAAGGAAUCUCAUGAUGGCUUCCACCUGUCUCUUUACUUUUCCUUCUUUUUUGGGUUUCUCCUCUUUGGGAGGUUACACAAAACUGCACUUUAACCCAGAAGGAAACAACAACCGUUCCACAAUCCCUGAAUCCCCUACAGCCUUUAUCUAAACAUUUACAUUGACCAUUAUCACACAUUUGAUUGCAUUUUCUCAG